AAGGCGUAGUCGAUGGGAAACGGGUUAAUAUUCCCGUACUUGGUGUUACUGCGAAGGGGGGACGGAGAAGGCUAUGUUGGCCGGGCGACGGUUGUCCCGGUUUAAGCGUAUAGGUGUGUGUUCCAGGUAAAUCCGGUUCACUUUAACACUGAGGCGUGAUGACGAGGCGCUACGGUGCUGAAGCAACAAAUGCCCUGCUUCCAGGAAAAGCCUCUAAGCAUCAGGUAACAUCAAAUCGUACCCCAAACCGACACAGGUGGUCAGGUAGAGAAUACCAAGGCGCUUGAGAGAACUCGGGUGAAGGAACUAGGCAAAAUGGUGCCGUAACUUCGGGAGAAGGCACGCUGACAUGUAGGUGAAGUGAUUUACUCACGGAGCUGAAGUCAGUCGAAGAUACCAGCUGGCUGCAACUGUUUAUUAAAAACACAGCACUGUGCAAACACGAAAGUGGACGUAUACGGUGUGACGCCUGCCCGGUGCCGGAAGGUUAAUUGAUGGGGUCAGCGCAAGCGAAGCUCCUGAUCGAAGCCCCGGUAAACGGCGGCCGUAACUAUAACGGUCCUAAGGUAGCGAAAUUCCUUGUCGGGUAAGUUCCGACCUGCACGAAUGGCGUAAUGAUGGCCAGGCUGUCUCCACCCGAGACUCAGUGAAAUUGAACUCGCUGUGAAGAUGCAGUGUACCCGCGGCAAGACGGAAAGACCCCGUGAACCUUUACUAUAGCUUGACACUGAACAUUGAGCCUUGAUGUGUAGGAUAGGUGGGAGGCUUUGAAGUGUGGACGCCAGUCUGCAUGGAGCCGACCUUGAAAUACCACCCUUUAAUGUUUGAUGUUCUAACGUGGACCCGUAAUCCGGGUUGCGGACAGUGUCUGGUGGGUAGUUUGACUGGGGCGGUCUCCUCCUAAAGAGUAACGGAGGAGCACGAAGGUUGGCUAAUCCUGGUCGGACAUCAGGAGGUUAGUGCAAUGGCAUAAGCCAGCUUGACUGCGAGCGUGACGGCGCGAGCAGGUGCGAAAGCAGGUCAUAGUGAUCCGGUGGUUCUGAAUGGAAGGGCCAUCGCUCAACGGAUAAAAGGUACUCCGGGGAUAACAGGCUGAUACCGCCCAAGAGUUCAUAUCGACGGCGGUGUUUGGCACCUCGAUGUCGGCUCAUCACAUCCUGGGGCUGAAGUAGGUCCCAAGGGUAUGGCUGUUCGCCAUUUAAAGUGGUACGCGAGCUGGGUUUAGAACGUCGUGAGACAGUUCGGUCCCUAUCUGCCGUGGGCGCUGGAGAACUGAGGGGGGCUGCUCCUAGUACGAGAGGACCGGAGUGGACGCAUCACUGGUGUUCGGGUUGUCAUGCCAAUGGCACUGCCCGGUAGCUAAAUGCGGAAGAGAUAAGUGCUGAAAGCAUCUAAGCACGAAACUUGCCCCGAGAUGAGUUCUCCCUGAGACUUUAGGUCUCCUGAAGGAACGUUGAAGACGACGACGUUGAUAGGCCGGGUGUGUAAGCGCAGCGAUGCGUUGAGCUAACCGGUACUAAUGAACCGUGAGGCUUAACCUU
RNAcentral lists this ribosomal RNA (1541 nucleotides) under Salmonella enterica. Its description in RNAcentral is "partial 23S ribosomal RNA". It matches the Rfam family "Bacterial large subunit ribosomal RNA", at positions 1406 to 2925 of the family's 2925-position model. Lineage: Bacteria; Pseudomonadati; Pseudomonadota; Gammaproteobacteria; Enterobacterales; Enterobacteriaceae. The record is from RNAcentral.